RNAcentral lists this ribosomal RNA (557 nucleotides) under Naganishia albida. RNAcentral describes it as "eukaryotic LSU rRNA". It matches the Rfam family "Eukaryotic large subunit ribosomal RNA", at positions 93 to 656 of the family's 3401-position model. The record is from RNAcentral. Lineage: Eukaryota; Fungi; Basidiomycota; Tremellomycetes; Filobasidiales; Filobasidiaceae.
GUGAGCGGGAAGAGCUCAAAUUUGAAAUCUGGUAGCCUUCGGUUGCCCGAGUUGUAAUCUAGAGAAGUGUUUUCCGUGCCGGCCCAUGUACAAGUCCCUUGGAACAGGGCGUCAUAGAGGGUGAGAAUCCCGUCCUUGACAUGGACCCCCGGUGCUUUGUGAUACACUUUCAACGAGUCGAGUUGUUUGGGAAUGCAGCUCAAAAUGGGUGGUGAAUUCCAUCUAAAGCUAAAUAUUGGCGAGAGACCGAUAGCGAACAAGUACCGUGAGGGAAAGAUGAAAAGCACUUUGGAAAGAGAGUUAAACAGUACGUGAAAUUGUUGAAAGGGAAACGAUUGAAGUCAGUCAUGCUCUUGGGACUUACCUCCCUUGAGUGGGGUCAACAUCAGUUUUGAUCGAUGGAUAAAGGCACGGGGAAGGUAGCACUCUCGGGUGAACUUAUAGCCUCGCGUCAUAUACAUUGAUUGGGACUGAGGAACGCAGCAUGCCUUAUGGCCGGGAUUCGUCCACGUACAUGCUUAGGAUGUUGACAUAAUGGCUUUAAACGACCCGUCUUG